Molecule: long non-coding RNA, 418 nt
Filed under: Coturnix japonica (Japanese quail)
Lineage: Eukaryota; Metazoa; Chordata; Aves; Galliformes; Phasianidae
Description: lncRNA (ENSCJPG00005006875.1)
Source: RNAcentral
CUUUACUUCAGCAUUCUCCUUUCAACAGCAGUGAAAUAUCCUUUCACUUCCAUUCCUUCUCACUUACAGCAGACCGCAGUAUUUUUGUUCUCUGUCUUUCCAUCAAUACUGCCAUGGAAUAGAUAGAAAACAAGAAAGUAGCCAAGCAGAAAGGAAAGGAGGACAAAAUAGGAAAAUGGAAGAGAUAAACCAAAGAACUCUUCAACAGUUGAAGUCUUUUUAGAAAUGCUGGAAACAUGGCUUUGGGCAGCAGGAAGCAACACAUCUCAAGAUGAUUCCAGCAAAUCAGCUCUGCUUAUACACAGAAGAAUUUCAUCAUGAACAUAUGAAGAAAUCAAUAGUUCACCCCCAGGCAGCACCAGAAAGCCAGAUCAGCAGCUCACACACUUGUGCACAACCUGUGAGCUGGAGAGUGCUG